AAAGUAGAUCAAGCGAUCGCCUUCCGCCUCCGGCGGAAAGAGGAAAGUCCGGACUCCAUAGGACAGGGCGGCCGCUAACGGCGGCCCCGAGCGAUCGGGGGAAAGUACCACAGAAAACAUACCGCCCUCCGCCUUCGGCGGUGGGUAAGGGUGAAAAGGCGAGGUAAGAGCUCACCGGUCCGCCAGUGAUGGCGGACGCUUGGCAAACCCCGCCCGGAGCAAGACCAAAUAGGAGGGUUGGGUGGUCCGCCCAUAGCCCUCGGGUAUGGUCGCUGGACCCUGUGAGCAAUCACAGGGCUAGAUGAAUGAUCGCUGUGGUUUCUUCUAGAAGCCACUACAGAACCCGGCUUACCGAUCUACUUUAGCC
Molecule: RNase P RNA, 367 nt
Filed under: Deltaproteobacteria bacterium RIFCSPLOWO2_12_FULL_60_19
Lineage: Bacteria; Deltaproteobacteria
Description: RNase P RNA component class A
Rfam family: Bacterial RNase P class A
About the family: Ribonuclease P (RNase P) is a ubiquitous endoribonuclease, found in archaea, bacteria and eukarya as well as chloroplasts and mitochondria.
Source: RNAcentral